GGGUUGCUUGGUGACUAGGAAAGCGUGUAACUUUGGCCUAAUAAUGAACUUUUCAUGGCGAAGAAGAAAUACACGAACUAACUGGCCACUUCAGAGACUGUGUUGUGUCUGUGUGUCGGUGUGACUGUGGGAGCCGAGGGAGCAGAGGUGUCGGUGACACAGGGAGAGGAAUGGAGAGAGAGACGAUAGAUACGGAGGGAGCGAGAUGGCUGUCAGUAUCGGUUCUGUUUGCUCCAAGCCAAGUCAGAGUGAAAACCCUGUUAUGCUCAGCUCCGUAGAUGACAAACAGAAGAAAGUAGUAUCAGGAGCAGACACUCGUCAAUGCAGAGAAACCCUGACACUGCCUCCAAUCAAAGCGGAAGGAAAAGUCAUACUUGGCCUGGUCGGAUUUUCCCCGUUUUCCACAAAUCCCGCUGCAGCGUGGCGUAAUUGAAAACAGGGAGAGAGAGAGGGAAGGAAACGUUCAAGAUUCUGGAUGAGGGACAGAGCGGAUGGAGAAGGGGAAAGGCUGGAUACAAAGGGAGAGAGAGGAACUCAAGUGCUUGAACGCAGGAUCCAUCUGUUCGGUGUAUCGUCUGAUUUCCCCCUCCCAGCACCCUCCUCUUUCUCUUUUCCUCCCUCACCUCCCAUUAAAACCACGUAAGCCUGAUUUAUCAAGAAUUGGCUCUCAGGGAGCAUCCCUCCUGCUGUACCCACCUGCCCCCCUGCAUAUGCCAGAAAAAUGAGAAUAGAUUGGCCCAUCCGUGGAUGGUGCCAGGUGGCAUUUAGACCCCCAAGAAGAUAUGUGUGCAGUCUAUCUACCUCACAGUGACAGACGUUGGGCCUGGAGAGAGAGGAAAAGAAAAAAGGAAGCAAGUCGGAAAGGAUAGUAACGGAGGAGGGGGAAAGCAGAAAAACCCUAGUAGGUUCAAGUAAAUGUGUUGUCCUGCUAAAGGCACGCUUGUUUUCUUGUCAUUAUCUCAAGCUGCUGUUGCACAGCGAGCCAGAUGUACAUGUGGGAGUACGCAAACGGGCUAGUGACAAUAGGAAUGCCCCUUUUUGCAUUGCCAUGUAAUCUUAGCCUUUUCCUUGUUUUGAAACCGUACUUGAGCUGGAUUUGAAAUCCUGUUAUAUGGAUUAGUGAACACUUAAACAUUAUGGAAAUUAAAAAUCAGGGAGCACAGAUGUGAUUUUGCAACACACAUGCCUAAAGGAAUGUUUUUAUGAUUUAAUACAAGUUAAGUUCAAUCAAGAGCAUCUGUGGUAUAAUGUUCAUUACCACAAAAAACAGUUUCAACAUCACUUUCUUUAUUAAGAAUUUCGGGUUAAAUUAAGAAUAUUUCAGGUUAAGUUCAGUCAACAGCAUACAUGGUAUAAUGUUAGUUAUCACAAAAAAUUGAUUCUGCUCAAACGUUUUCUUUUUUUUUAAACCAAAAAUCAAGGCUACAUUGAGGUACGUAUAAUCAAAGUAAAUGGCACCAGUAAUUUAGAGGAUUUAAAAGCAGGAAUGUGAAGUAUUGCAAUUUUAUAAAACCACUUACUUUUGUUAAAACUUGAGUUUUAUUUGAGCUGCAAAACUAUUUAGAUCAUAAUUUUUACAGUGAUUUUGGAGCAUUACCUUGUCAUGGCAAUGAAGUUACAACUACAGUUGUAUAUACUGUAACUUUACAAAGAAAAGGUUAGUAAACAAUUUUUCAGAGCAUGUUGUUCAUAUCUUGUGGAUAUACUUUUGAAAGAGCAAAUAGUUUAAUGUAUUCACGUGUUAAAGAAAAGGAAAUGAAUUUUUGUGGAAAUCAACAUCAUGCCACAAUGGCUGUCACUUGUACUGUACCCGGAAUGUUCCUUGAAUUUUGAUGCUUUGUCAACAGGACAGCAUUGGAAGUCCUGCUACAUUCUGAGCAAGUCAGCUCUUGCAGUGUGUAUUGCAAAAGAAUAUUAAUCAUGCAGGGAGGAUGGUGAAAGAGUGUCAUGUCAUUGUUUCCAUUGUUGGGAAAUACCUGUUUUUCAUGUUCUGCAAUCCGUUUUCCUCAUUCAGAGCAAAAGCCAUGACUUCCUGCCAUCUGGGUAAGCAGUUUUUAUUGUUUUCGAGCAUGAAAACAAGAACUCUAAUUAUAGCAUUGGGAUUAUGCUACAGUAUGCCAAUGGCCAUGAUACCCCUGGCACAAGAGUGGAACUGUUUCAACAGGCCCAGAAUUACCCUUUAGUGGCUAAUGGAAUAUGAUGGGGCUUUUUCAGGGUGAUUAAUGAAAAGGAUGGGGAGGACAAGAGAUGGAGAGAUAGAAAGCGAGGGAAUGGGGGAAGGGUGAUCGUGACAAAUCGUUUGGGGGUUCUUCAAAACAACACUGGGAGAUAGAUGGUGGCAGUGUGUGUCUUUCAUUAUCAGUGACCCCCUGUUCAAUCAACGCCAGAGAAAGACGGCCACAGUCCAGAGAACAGGGCUACAGGACAAAGUAUCAUCCCAUCAUCACUCAAGUCCCCCUCUCUUAACACAUACGCACACACAUAUCUUCUCAAACACUCACCUCUACCCCUCAAACGACCCCACACACAUUGAUGAGAUUGGUGAGGGUUCUGACCCCAGACUGGAUGUGCCCUCUUACCCCUCAGGAUCCAAAGAAAGGGCGCCAUCCUUGCAGGUGCCAUGGUAACACUGUUGUGGCAGGUCGAGUCUCAUGAACGAUGAUGCUGGUGAUGUCAUCAACCCGGUAGGAGGAGCAUCCCACCAGUUUUCCCAUAAUCACCAGCUGCCUCUUUCCAUUAGCAUUCAAUGCAAUUCCUAUAGCUUUAAUUCCUACCGUUUUUUUUUAUUUUAACACAACUUUCAUCCUCUGCUCUCCUCUAAAAGUGAAACCUCAUCAAGCCCCUUAUGGCAUAUUUGUAGCAAUAUUUCACUGUACUGUGUUUUAAGAAUGCACUAUGAAAAAAAAUUAAGUUACUGCCUUAUAUUUUUAUAGUAGAAUCAAAUUGACUGUACAAAUUAUUUCAAAUUAAAUUAUAUUAAACUGACUUAAAAUAUCAAGUGAAGUCUCAUAUAACUUCAAAAAAUGAAGUUGAAAUUGGUUAAAUUAAUUUGAUGAGUUAAAGUAAUGGAAAACUUUAUGUUGCCAUGACUAAUUGAUCAUAUAGUUUUUACAGUGUGUCCUUUGUGGUUUAAAAGUGGUUUUCAAACUGGGGUCCACCAGGGGGCUGCAAGAUGGGUUGUAUUUAAGAGAAAUAUGUAUAUUCAUUUAAGGGAAAA
This is a long non-coding RNA of Cyprinus carpio (common carp), 3217 nucleotides long. RefSeq lists it as uncharacterized. Lineage: Eukaryota; Metazoa; Chordata; Actinopteri; Cypriniformes; Cyprinidae. The transcript has 7 exons. The record is from RefSeq and is a predicted model, not a curated record.